RNAcentral lists this ribosomal RNA (491 nucleotides) under uncultured bacterium. RNAcentral describes it as "SSU rRNA". It matches the Rfam family "Bacterial small subunit ribosomal RNA", at positions 26 to 518 of the family's 1533-position model. The record is from RNAcentral.
AGGACGAACGCUGGCGGCGUGCUUAACACAUGCAAGUGGAGCGACGAACCAGGGCUUGCCCUGGGGCAGAGCCGCGAACGGGUGAGUAACACGUGGGUUACCUGCCUCGAUGACCGGGACAACCCGAGGAAAACUCGGGCUAAUACCGGAUGUGCCCGCAAGGGGAAAGGAAGCUUCGGCCUCCGCAUCGAGAUGGGCCCGCGGCCCAUUAGCUUGUUGGUGAGGUAACGGCUCACCAAGGCUUCGAUGGGUAGCUGGUCUGAGAGGACGAUCAGCCACACUGGGACUGAGACACGGCCCAGACUCCUACGGGAGGCAGCAGUGGGGAAUCUUGCGCAAUGCGCGAAAGCGUGACGCAGCAACGCCGCGUGGGGGAAGAAGGCUUUCGGGUGUAAACCCUUUCAGUUGGGACGAAGCUUCUCCGGUGAAUAGCCGGACGGAGUGACGGUACCUUCACAAGAAGCACCGGCUAACUACGUGCCAGCAGCCGC